AAGCUACACUACAUUUUAUCUCUAUCUUUUGUUAAAGAAUGUUGCGAAUGCAUAAACAUACACCUCAAGAAACUCAAAAAAAGGUUUAUAUCAAAGAGAUUCGAAGAGCCUAAAACUCCCAAAUUAAGUAGUGUUAAUCUUUAAAAUGUAUGUUUGUUGAGCUUUCACCAGAUAACUUGUAGAUUACUUUAAAGAACCCAAAAAUCGAAACUUCCUUUAUGUGAACUUAAGCGAAAAAGUUUCCUGGUGAAACUCUUUUUGGUACUUGCAGUAUGAGGAACAUUCUCUAUAGUAGUUUGGCAUGCAAUAUUUAAAAUUUUGAACUUUGUCUUGGAAAAAAGAAAUCAAUUUUGUAUCUUUAUCUAAGAAAUCAAUUCUUGUGAGACUGGUAGACCACACUAGUCUACCAUAAUCGAAGAGCUGAGACUUUAAGACCAAAAAGAGGCCAUACAAAUAGGGAAUUCAAUUCAGUGAGGAAAUGGUGAAUUGCUUGUAGCGCAGAAAAGUCAUACAUAUGUUGUAAUUCAUGAGUGGCCCAUCUUUGCCAUUGUCGAAGAAAUUGACAAACUUUAAACGAGUCAUUGAAACAACAACUGCCACAGCAGAAGCGCAAUGCAAGUCUCUACUAGAAAACUGCGCCAAAACCAAAUCUUUAAGAACUACCAAGUGCGUCCAUGCCCAUGCCACGACACUCGGGCUCCUUCAACCCCUCAGCUCGACCCAUUUGCUUUCUCUCCUGACAGCAGCGUAUGCAUUCUGUGGUCACACGCUGUAUGCUCGUAAAGUGUUUGAUGAAUUGCCUCAAAGAACUAUGCUGUCGUACAGGUCCAUGAUAAGAAUGUACACCCAGAAUGGGUUGCCUAAAGUUGCACUCCAACUCUUUGGGGAAAUGCUGCGAUCGGAUAGACACAAGCCUGAUAGACAUACUUUCCCGUAUGUGAUUAGGGCGUGUAGUGAUUUGUUCUUACUUCAGCAGGGUGUUGUUAUUCAUGGGUUGGCUGUUAUAAGUGGAUGUAUGUGGGAUACUUUUUUGGGGAAUUCACUUUUGUGCAUGUAUAUGAAUUGCGGAGAUAAAGAGGGUGCUAGGAGGGUCUUUGAUGCAAUGCAGGUCCGAACUGUUGUGACCUGGAACACCAUGAUCAGUGGGUAUUGCCGAAAUGAUAGUCCCAAGGAGGCGUUAAUGAUUUACAGGAGAAUGGAAGAUGCGGGUGUUGAUGCUGAUUGUGCCACUGUGCUUUCCCUGUUGCCUGCGUGCGGGUGUCUGAAGGAUGUUGAGAUGGGCAGAGAGGUUCACUCAUCGGUUGAGCAAGUGGGUUUUUGGGACAAUUUGUCAGUUCGGAAUGCUGUUGUUGAUAUGUACGUCAAAUAUGGAAGAAUGGAUGAAGCAAGGUUGGUUUUUGAGAAGAUGAUCAAUAGAGAUGUGGUGACUUGGACUACAAUGAUCCACGGGUUCAUUUCAGAUGGCGACAUAAAGAAUGCACUAUGGUUUUCUCAAAAGAUGCAGCUUGAAGGUGUAAAGCCGAAUGCAGUAACUCUGGCAUCUCUUCUAGCUGCAUGCGCCAGUUUGCCUCAUUUGAGGCUUGGUAAAUGUCUACAUGGCUGGGCUAUCAGGCAGGACCUUCAGGCUGAUGUUAAUGUAGAAACUGGCCUCAUUGACAUGUAUGCUAAGUGCAAUUGUUUUAGGCUUGGCUAUCAGGUGUUCGCAAAGACUAACAAGAAGAGGACUGUCCCAUGGAAUGCAAUUUUGUCUGGUUGCCUUCAUAAUAAGCUUGCAAGAGAAGCGAUAGAGCUUUUCAAGUUAAUGUUGUCCGAGGCUGUCAAACCUAACGAUGCAACCCUGAAAAGUGUACUUCCUGCAUUUGCCAUUGAAGCUGAUCUCAGGCAAGCAUUGAGCAUGCACAGCUAUCUUCUAAGAUCUGGAUUUGUUAAGAGAACUGAGGUAGCCACUGGUUUAGUUGAUAUAUACUCAAAAUGUGGAAACUUGGAUAAUGGUCACAAAAUCUUCAAUGAGAUACCCAAGAAAGAAAGGGACAUAAUCUUGUGGAGUACGUUAAUAGCUGGUUAUGGGAUGCACGGGAAUGGCNAUACUUCUCUGUCACUGUUUAAUGAGAUGGUGCAAUCUGGGGUCAAACCUAACGAAGUCACUUUCACCUCGGUUUUGCAUGCCUGCGGUCAUGCUGGUUUGGUGGACGAUGGUCUUUGUUUGUUUAAGUUCAUGCUUAGAAAUCAUUCUGAUAGUCUUAGAACAGAUCAUUAUACUUGUAUGGUUGAUCUUCUUGGUCGGGCUGGCCGACUUGAGGAAGCAUACGAACUUAUUAAAACUAUGACUUUUGAACCAAGUCAUGCCAUCUGGGGUGCUCUACUUGGUGCCUGUGUGAUACAUGAAAAUGUGGAACUGGGAGAAUUGGCUGCAAGAUGGCUAUUUAAGCUGGAGCCAGAGAACACAGGAAAUUAUGUACUGUUGGGAAAGAUAUAUUCUGCAGUUGGAAGAUGGAAAGACGCGGAGAAUGUGAGGCGUUUGAUGGAUGAAGUCGGACUAGUAAAGACGCCAGCUCAAAGUGUCAUUGGGUGACAAGUAGGUGAUUUCAUUUAGUUUUCGAGUAAAUAGAGCCAAACGAGAGCUGCAGGGUGAGAGCGACAUCUGAGAACCAUGCAGCAACAGGAUGAAAGCUAACCCUCUUAGUCUCCGGUGGUUUUUAUGACCUCCUGAAUUUUGAUAUUGUAAAUUAUAUUUCUGCAGUGCUCCUCACAGCUCGAUAUAUAAUUGCAAGAUGGAUACAUUUUUAUACAAAUCGGCCAAUCACAACUGUUCAUGUACUGAGGUCGAAGCUGGUUGAGAUCACCACUUAACUUCAAGAAUUCACAUGGCUCGGUUCACUAUGGCAAGAGAAGGAUGAAAAUUAAUUGUGAUGCCUGUUCGCGAGCAACCAGAAGUCCAAACUCUUAUAUCUUUAUUUAUUUUUAAGGUCCCAAGUGUUACUAUGCUAGCGGGAAGGAUGUGUUUUGGUGAAAAAUUACUCCUCGCAACAAAGAAUUCGUUUGACAGAGUGUAUUAGAAAAAUUAUUCAUGUAUUAAGUGUGGUAUUAUUUAAUAUUUUGUUUGAUAGCAAUUUGGGAAAAUGUAUAACUAAGACAUCUCAUUUGAUGGUAUUAGUAUACAAGGGUUUUAAUGCAUGGGAUAAAUAUGAGUAAAGAUAAAAAUGCCCUCAAAUUCCUUAAA
Molecule: RNA transcript, 3220 nt
Organism: Capsicum annuum
Lineage: Eukaryota; Viridiplantae; Streptophyta; Magnoliopsida; Solanales; Solanaceae
Gene name: pentatricopeptide repeat-containing protein At5g39350
Exons: 3
Source: RefSeq, a predicted model, not a curated record